This 482-nucleotide ribosomal RNA is filed under the name uncultured bacterium. RNAcentral describes it as "partial 16S ribosomal RNA". It matches the Rfam family "Bacterial small subunit ribosomal RNA", at positions 30 to 507 of the family's 1533-position model. The record is from RNAcentral.
AUUGAACGCUGGCGGCAUGCCUUACACAUGCAAGUCGAACGGUAACAGGUCUUCGGAUGCUGACGAGUGGCGAACGGGUGAGUAAUACAUCGGAACGUGCCCGAUCGUGGGGGAUAACGAGGCGAAAGCUUUGCUAAUACCGCAUACGAUCUACGGAUGAAAGCGGGGGAUCUUCGGACCUCGCGCGGACGGAGCGGCCGAUGGCAGAUUAGGUAGUUGGUGGGAUAAAAGCUUACCAAGCCGACGAUCUGUAGCUGGUCUGAGAGGAUGAUCAGCCACACUGGGACUGAGACACGGCCCAGACUCCUACGGGAGGCAGCAGUGGGGAAUUUUGGACGAUGGGCGAAAGCCUGAUCCAGCCAUGCCGCGUGCAGGAUGAAGGCCUUCGGGUUGUAAACUGCUUUUGUACGGAACGAAAAGCCUCUUUCUAAUAAAGAGGGGUCAUGACGGUACCGUAAGAAUAAGCACCGGCUAACUACGUG